This is a long non-coding RNA of Anastrepha ludens (Mexican fruit fly), 592 nucleotides long. RefSeq lists it as uncharacterized. The record is from RefSeq and is a predicted model, not a curated record. NCBI's taxonomy places the organism in Eukaryota, Metazoa, Arthropoda, Insecta, Diptera, Tephritidae. The transcript has 2 exons.
AUUUCUUUAAGAUAAGUGUUUGCCAUACGAAGAUUAUUGGUCAAUAUUUGUACAACGCCACUAUCGCAAAAAACAUGCAAAUGCCCAUCUAUAACAAGAGCAGCACCAAUAGCCACACUAACAACAAAACGCCGAGACAACAACAACCCAAACUGACUGAUACGAAUGGAUGACGUUGACAGUUUUUUCGUAAUCUACCGUGCGGCCUGUCAAUUCCGCUGCCCUCAUCUCUUUCCUUUGCAAACACCAGGAUGGCAGCCGUAACACAAUUAUUUUACCCGUUAACUAUCUUCUAACAACUAUAUCAACUAAUGAAUUUUCCAAGCUUUUUGGCCAAUUUACCUGAUCCGCCACAUCUUCCGUUUUCGAAAUGUACUCGUUGGGGAUAUUCAUUUUUGUUUAUGUAUAUGGUAUUCGCUGCUUUCACGGAACUUUGGAUCAGUGGAACAAAUCCUUACGUUAUGGCUUGAGUUAAAAAGCCCUACUUUCUUUUACAAUUCCGUACUGCCUUUUUAAUAUUUAAAAUAAAAAAUGUUAACAAAAUCUCAAGAAACACGAAUCACUUAUACACGAACCACGAAAACGAGACAAA